Molecule: ribosomal RNA, 253 nt
Filed under: uncultured bacterium
Lineage: Bacteria
Description: partial 16S ribosomal RNA
Rfam family: Bacterial small subunit ribosomal RNA
Source: RNAcentral
UACGUAGGGGGCAAGCGUUGUUCGGAAUUACUGGGCGUAAAGGGCGCGUAGGCGGCACAGCAAGUCGGGAGUGAAAGCCCGGGGCUCAACCCCGGAACUGCUUUCGAAACUGCUGAGCUAGAGUACAGAAGGGGCAACCGGAAUUCCCAGUGUAGCGGUGAAAUGCGUAGAUAUUGGGAAGAACACCUGCGGCGAAGGCGGGUUGCUGGGCUGAUACUGACGCUGAGGCGCGAAAGCCAGGGGAGCAAACGGG